Molecule: ribosomal RNA, 466 nt
Filed under: uncultured organism
Description: bacterial SSU rRNA
Rfam family: Bacterial small subunit ribosomal RNA
Source: RNAcentral
GACGAACGCUGGCGGCGUGCUUAACACAUGCAAGUCGAACGGAAAGGCCCUUCGGGGUACUCGAGUGGCGAACGGGUGAGUAACACGUGGGUGAUCUGCCCCUGACUUUGGGAUAAGCCUGGGAAACUGGGUCUAAUACCGGAUAUGACCAUGGGAUGCAUGUCUUGUGGUGGAAAGCUUUUGCGGUUGGGGAUGGGCCCGCGGCCUAUCAGCUUGUUGGUGGGGUAAUGGCCUACCAAGGCGACGACGGGUAGCCGACCUGAGAGGGUGAUCGGCCACACUGGGACUGAGACACGGCCCAGACUCCUACGGGAGGCAGCAGUGGGGAAUAUUGCACAAUGGGCGGAAGCCUGAUGCAGCGACGCCGCGUGAGGGAUGACGGCCUUCGGGUUGUAAACCUCUUUCGCCAGGGACGAAGCCGCUUGCGGUGACGGUACUUGGAGAAGAAGCACCGGCCAACUACGUG